Long non-coding RNA from Drosophila busckii, 654 nucleotides. RefSeq lists it as uncharacterized. The transcript is spliced from 3 exons. Lineage: Eukaryota; Metazoa; Arthropoda; Insecta; Diptera; Drosophilidae. The record is from RefSeq and is a predicted model, not a curated record.
AUAUUUUGCCUGCUCUUAACUUGUCAGAGCGUAUUUGGAAAUCGACUUUGGCCAUAAAAAUGCGAAAAAACAAUAAAGCAGGCUUGCUCUGGCGAAUGAAAACAAUUUAAGAAAUUGUGCCGGCUCAAACGCUCCAAGCAACAGCAGCAGCAGCAGCAGCUUAUAGCCCGGUCAGCCUCAGCCUCUCACCUCUGGCAACAUAUGAGCCAAAAUUUUUAUACAUAAAGCAGCUUAACUCUGACUGAUUACUUAUGGCAAAAUAUGUGCUUAGCAGUUGAGGGCAAUAGCCCGAAAUCCGAUUAGAAAAUGGCAAGUGCAGAGUGUUGUUGCGAGAACUGCGAAGAUUGAGGACUGAGGACUGAGCUUUGGCCCCAUUACGGCUACUUGACACUUGUCAAAGUAAAGCGGGUGGGUGUAAGCGGCGGCAAUUAAUGUCACUGCGGCGUGCUUAAAACACUUGUUGAAAGUUCGCUUGUAAUUUAUUAUGAUACGAUUUUGAAGAUGACCAGUUGCCCAGACACAGUCGUAAAAAGUCAUAAAUAAAGUUGUGUUGAUGAAGCCAAAGAAAUGUGUCAAGUGAACGAACGCGCAACUUUUCUUUACACUUUUAUUUAUGCGCUUAUUUACGCGCAUUUAAUAACAAUAUUGAAGGCA